This 76-nucleotide transfer RNA is filed under the name bacterium. Its description in RNAcentral is "tRNA-Val". It matches the Rfam family "tRNA". Rfam says of the family: Transfer RNA (tRNA) molecules are approximately 80 nucleotides in length. RNAcentral also lists the same sequence under 3 other names. The record is from RNAcentral.
GGGCGCUUAGCUCAGCUGGGAGAGCGACGGUCUUACAAACCGUAGGUCACAAGUUCGAUCCUUGUAGCGCCCACCA